This 2398-nucleotide long non-coding RNA is filed under the name Oryzias javanicus (javanese ricefish). RNAcentral describes it as "lncRNA (ENSOJAG00000016434.1)". Lineage: Eukaryota; Metazoa; Chordata; Actinopteri; Beloniformes; Adrianichthyidae. The record is from RNAcentral.
AUCAAAGUUCUGUUCAUCCAUCCAUCCUGAUGAGUGGGCAGCCUCCUCCCCCGUAUCAUCCCUAUAACCCAGAUGGAGCUCCGCCCCCUACUUUCCCACCAGCUUUUGUCUCACAACCAGCCUUUUUCCCUGGCUCCAUUUACCAGACUUUUCCUCAGACCCCCAUAGACUCCACCCACCAUCACGCAGGACAGCUGGGACAUGGUGUGGGGUCACUGCUGGGUUACCUUGGAGACAAGCAGGAGCACCCCCCACCCCCAAAACAUGGAGUGAACGUGAUGGAGCCCCGCCCCUACCAGGAGAGAGGUGUGGGCUCGUACCUGGCAGCGUGUUCGGCUGCUCUCUGCUGCUGCUGCCUGUGGGAUCUGCUUCAUCGCUGAAGCCGUCAUUCCCUUCAACCUCUUCGUCAUCUCUGUCUUCGCAGCACCCACCACCAUGAUGGAAGGGAUCGAAUCUGCUUGAUUAAUAUGUUUUCAGCUUUGAUUUUAGGGCAGAGAAAAAUCUGCCACACGUAUUCUUGGGUUUAUUAAUAAACAUUAAAAAAAUACAAGUCAGUGUUGAGAUUAUUUGCUUUUGACCCCCAGACUCAGUCUGGCCAACAUUAAAGUCCCACUCCAAUCAUCUUUUGUAAAAUUGUUCCCAUUGGUCUUUUCACAAUGAAGGAGCUGUUUUGAACUCAAAUCAACAAACCUGUCAUUUUCUAGGAUGUAGUUUCUACAGAGUUGCAGGAGUUCAUUAGAAAUUCAUCUUGUCCCACCUUCCCGUCUUGUUGCUGAGAGCUCUCUGUGUAUGCUCUUUCCUGCUAGCUUACAGGCCCUCACAACCCUACCCUAACAUUAGGUUGCGGUGCCCAAGACCAUAUGGAAAGCAAUAUUGGAGCUAUCCAGUCAUAUAGUUUAGAUCCAGAUUUCUGCUACGACGAGGAAAACAAUCGUGAAUGUAUUUGUCUGCAAGUGGAUGCAUCUGAAUGGCGCCGGUCCGGGGGCCUCGCAGACAAGAAAGAGGGCACAGUAAGCAUUUCAGUCCACAGUACCUGUGCAGCGAGGUCCGAGCGCCUUAAGCCCUAAAGCACGCAGCAGUUGGGGCUUAUCAAGCUGGAGCCGGUCGAGACACUCUGCCAAGGGAAAAUCACACAAAUGGAUCCCACCCAGCCUCUAUCAGAAGGACUUAGGUACCCAGAUGACAUUGGGUAGGCGGUUUUCCAUACACCACAUUCUGCACUGAGCUCUUCCCUCAGUGUAACUGAGGAAAUCCUGGUUAUUGUCUUUUCCACUGCUUAGUAAUAUUAUUACCAGCAGGUCGUUUAGUCUGAUCUGAAGUUGAACACACAUAUUAAUACCACAGUCAUCCUCCAUAAAAGAAAAAAGAUAGGUGGUCCUGCCAGAAAACGUGGAAAUAGUGAAAAGUCUGAAGUUACAAUUAACUUUCAAUAAUAGGCUACAAGAUCAACCUAAACGUUCAUUAUUCUUCCUAAAUUGUUUUCCAUAAGUUCUCCUUUAUUGGCCGACGGUAAUAAUUUACCUGUGAAAAGUCACAUUUUUGUUUUUCCAACGCUAUUUGUGUAAAUGUAGCACAGCAGUAAACAAGCAUCUCGACAUAUCCAAUAUGGCGUCCGACUUUGCAUACGCAACAAGCUAGCGUAGCCACUCUAGCCUUUAGAGCUCAUUGGUUAGAACACCGGAACUUGCUUCCGUCCCGGAACUCGUCAUAUCAGUCUAGAAAACGGAAGUUCCUCCUCUUUGGUUUCCGCUCGGUGAAGAAGCUUUUAGGUGAGUCCUGCUCGGAGUUUUUAUCCUUUUGAAUCCCGCUCACAGGCGUCCAUCUACCUUUGCAUUGUCAUCGUAUUGACUGCUGGACUUUGGUUGUACCCGUAGGUGGGUGAAUUUCGUUUCUGUGAAGUGAAAAUAAACAGUUUUAAAGAGAUUUUCUCCGGUGUUUCCACUGUUGGUGCCGCCAUAUUGGUCGCGCGCGGAGGUUUCUUUAGCAGGAUGAUGGCGUGAUUACCCAAAGUCUCCGCACAUGUUCUGCGAGGAAUUGUUAGCUGUAAGUCAGAAAUGUUGACGCGGACACUUAAAUCGUGAAAGCUAGCAGGCUAAAGUUAACCUUCCGGUUCAAGCCUCCUGAGGGAGCGUUAGGGCAGCUCUGACCGCGCAGGUGUUGCAGUCUCGAGCUCGUGCGGUUGAACAUGCUAGCAUCCUUAAAUCUGCUGCAGAGAUUCAUGUCGGUGCCUGACCCGAUGGUUCCUUCAGACAGUCGCGAAUAAACACGUGUUAGUGACGUUGUUCAUUACAAGGGGUCUGGAUGAAGAUUUGAAGGAUCAGCAUCUAACCUCCUGUCAGGUUCUGAUCCUCUCUCUGGAUCAGAACCUCCUACAGAUUUGUUUUCAAGUCUCUCACCC